UGGGGAAUUUUGGACAAUGGGCGAAAGCCUGAUCCAGCAAUGCCGCGUGUGUGAAGAAGGCCUUCGGGUUGUAAAGCACUUUUGUCCGGAAAGAAAUCCUUGGCUCUAAUACAGUCGGGGGAUGACGGUACCGGAAGAAUAAGCACCGGCUAACUACGUGCCAGCAGCCGCGGUAAUACGUAGGGUGCAAGCGUUAAUCGGAAUUACUGGGCGUAAAGCGUGCGCAGGCGGUUUGCUAAGACCGAUGUGAAAUCCCCGGGCUCAACCUGGGAACUGCAUUGGGUGACUGGCAGGCUAGAGUAUGGCAGAGGGGGGUAGAAUUCCACGUGUAGCAGUGAAAUGCGUAGAGAUGUGGAGGAAUACCGAUGGCGAAGGCAGCCCCCUGGGCCAAUACUGACGCUCAUGCACGAAAGCGUGGGGAGCAAACAGGAUUAGAUACCCUGGUAGUCCACGCCCUAAACGAUGUCAACUAGUUGUUGGGGAUUCAUUUCCUUAGUAACGUAGCUAACGCGUGAAGUU
This 519-nucleotide ribosomal RNA is filed under the name uncultured bacterium. Its description in RNAcentral is "partial 16S ribosomal RNA". It matches the Rfam family "Bacterial small subunit ribosomal RNA", at positions 355 to 866 of the family's 1533-position model. The record is from RNAcentral.